GAAAUGCGAUAAGUAAUGUGAAUUGCAGAAUUCAGUGAAUCAUCGAAUCUUUGAACGCACAUUGCGCCCGCCAGUAUUCUGGCGGGCAUGCCUGUUCGAGCGUCAUUACAACCCUCAGGCCCCCGGGCCUGGCGUUGGGGAUCGGCGGAAGCCCCCUGCGGGCACAACGCCGUCCCCCAAAUACAGUGGCGGUCCCGCCGCAGCUUCCAUGGCGUAGUAGCUAACACCUCGCAACUGGAGAGCGGCGCGGCCACGCCGUAAAACACCCAACUUCUGAAUGUUGACCUCGAAUCAGGUAGGAAUACCCGCUGAACUUAAGC
This 320-nucleotide unclassified non-coding RNA is filed under the name plant metagenome. RNAcentral describes it as "partial contains 5.8S ribosomal RNA, internal transcribed spacer 2, and large subunit ribosomal RNA". The stretch from base 1 to 105 matches the Rfam family "5.8S ribosomal RNA", at positions 50 to 154 of the family's 154-position model. The record is from RNAcentral.